Molecule: ribosomal RNA, 461 nt
Filed under: uncultured bacterium
Lineage: Bacteria
Description: partial 16S ribosomal RNA
Rfam family: Bacterial small subunit ribosomal RNA
Source: RNAcentral
CCUACGGGAGGCAGCAGUGAGGAAUAUUGGUCAAUGGGCUUACGCCUGAACCAGCCAAGUCGCGUGAGGGAAGAAUGCCCUAUGGGUUGUAAACCUCUUUUGUCAGGGAGCAACGCCGGCUACGUGUAGCCGGACUGAGAGUACCUGAAGAAAAAGCAUCGGCUAACUCCGUGCCAGCAGCCGCGGUAAUACGUAGGUGGCAAGCGUUAUCCGGAUUUAUUGGGUGUAAAGGGCGUGUAGGCGGGAAAGCAAGUCAGAGGUGAAAACUCGGGGCUCAACCCUGAGCCUGCCUUUGAAACUGGUUGUCUUGAGUUCGGGAGAGGCAAUCGGAAUGCGGGGUGUAGCGGUGAAAUGCGUAGAUAUACGGAGGAACACCAGUGGCGAAGGCGGAUUGCUGGACAGUAACUGACGCUGAGGCGCGAAAGCGUGGGGAGCAAACAGGAUUAGAUACCCUUGUAGUC